GAUGAACGCUGGCGGCAUGCCUAACACAUGCAAGUCGAUCGGUAAGGCUCUUCGGAGUACACGAGAGGCGGACGGCUGAGUAACGCGUAGGAACACACCCUGCAGUGAGGGAUAAGACACCGAAAGGUGUUCUAAUACCGCAUACGGUCUUCGGAUUAAAGCAUUUAUGCGCUGAAGGAGUGGCCUGCGUCAUAUUAGAUAGUUGGUGAGGUAAUGGCUCACCAAGUCGAUGAUGUGUAGCUGGUCUGAGAGGAUGCUCAGCCAGACUGGAACUGAGACACGGUCCAGACUCCUACGGGAGGCAGCAGUGAGGAAUAUUUCACAAUGAGCGAAAGCUUGAUGGAGCAAUGCCGCGUGCAGGAUGAAGGCCCUCGGGUUGUAAACUGCUUUUAUAAGAGAAGAUUAUGACGGUAACUUAUGAAUAAGGGACGGCUAACUACGUGCCAGCAGCCGCGGUCAUACGUAGGUCCCGAGCGUUAUCCGGAGUGACUGGGCGUAAAGAGUUGCGUAGGCGGUCAAGUUAGCGAGCGAUGAAGAACUAUCGGCUCAACCGAUAGCUUGUUGUCUCGAACUGCUUGACUCGAGAGUAUCAGAGGUCGCUGGAAUUCCUAGUGUAGACAGUGAAAUGCGUAGAUAUUAGGAAGAACACCGAUGGCGUAGGCAGGCGACUGGGAUAUUUCUGACGCUAAGGCACGAAAGCGUGGGUAGCGAACCGGAUUAGAUACCCGGGUAGUCCACGCCGUAAACGAUGGAUGCUAAUUGUUUGAGGUAUCGACCCCUCGAGUAAUAAAGGCUAACGCGUUAAGCAUCCCGCCUGUGGAGUACGGCCGCAAGGCUAAAACAUAAAGGAAUUGACGGGGACCCGCACAAGCGGUGGAGGAUGUUCUUUAAUUCGACGUUAAGCGAAGAAACCCUUACCAGGGCUUGACAUCCCUAGAACUUUUUCCAAAAG
RNAcentral lists this ribosomal RNA (952 nucleotides) under TM7 phylum sp. oral taxon 437. RNAcentral's name for it is "bacterial SSU rRNA". It matches the Rfam family "Bacterial small subunit ribosomal RNA", at positions 28 to 1007 of the family's 1533-position model. The record is from RNAcentral. Lineage: Bacteria; Candidatus Saccharimonadota.